Molecule: ribosomal RNA, 399 nt
Filed under: uncultured bacterium
Lineage: Bacteria
Description: bacterial SSU rRNA
Rfam family: Bacterial small subunit ribosomal RNA
Source: RNAcentral
CAGCCCUUGGCAUUUGGUGCUACUUCCAGAGAUGGAAGGUUCCCUUCGGGGACGCCAGGACAGGUGCUGCAUGGCUGUCGUCAGCUCGUGUCGUGAGAUGUUGGGUUAAGUCCCGCAACGAGCGCAACCCUCGCCCUUAGUUGCCAGCAUUCAGUUGGGCACUCUAGGGGGACUGCCGGUGAUAAGCCGAGAGGAAGGUGGGGAUGACGUCAAGUCCUCAUGGCCCUUACGGGCUGGGCUACACACGUGCUACAAUGGCGGUGACAGUGGGCAGCGAACUCGCGAGAGGGAGCUAAUCUCCAAAAGCCGUCUCAGUUCGGAUUGUUCUCUGCAACUCGAGAGCAUGAAGUUGGAAUCGCUAGUAAUCGCGUAACAGCAUGACGCGGUGAAUACGUUCCC